CUGCUUUUAUACGGGAAGAAUAAGGGACACGUGUGUCCUGGUGACGGUACCGUAAGAAUAAGGACCGGCUAACUCCGUGCCAGCAGCCGCGGUAAUACGGAGGGUCCGAGCGUUAUCCGGAAUUAUUGGGUUUAAAGGGUCCGCAGGCGGGCAAUUAAGUCAGGGGUGAAAUGGUGCGGCUCAACCGUAGCACUGCCCUUGAUACUGGUUGUCUUGAGUCAUAGUGAAGUGGCCGGAAUAUGUAGUGUAGCGGUGAAAUGCAUAGAUAUUACAUAGAACACCGAUUGCGAAGGCAGGUCACUAACUAUCGACUGACGCUGAUGGACGAAAGCGUGGGGAGCGAACGGGAUUAGAUACCCCGGUAGUCCACGCCGUAAACGAUGGAUACUAGCUGUCCGGCACCUUGAGUGCUGGGCGGCCAAGCGAAAGUGAUAAGUAUCCCACCUGGGGAGUACGUUCGCAAGAAUGAAACUCAAAUGAAUUGA
This 485-nucleotide ribosomal RNA is filed under the name uncultured Bacteroidota bacterium. RNAcentral describes it as "bacterial SSU rRNA". It matches the Rfam family "Bacterial small subunit ribosomal RNA", at positions 430 to 913 of the family's 1533-position model. Lineage: Bacteria; Pseudomonadati; Bacteroidota. The record is from RNAcentral.